This 472-nucleotide ribosomal RNA is filed under the name uncultured organism. Its description in RNAcentral is "partial 16S ribosomal RNA". It matches the Rfam family "Bacterial small subunit ribosomal RNA", at positions 334 to 797 of the family's 1533-position model. The record is from RNAcentral.
CACUCCUACGGGAGGCAGCAGUGGGGAAUUUUGGACAAUGGGCGAAAGCCUGAUCCAGCCAUGCCGCGUGCAGGAUGAAGGCCUUCGGGUUGUAAACUGCUUUUGUACGGAACGAAACGGCCUUUUCUAAUAAAGAGGGCUAAUGACGGUACCGUAAGAAUAAGCACCGGCUAACUACGUGCCAGCAGCCGCGGUAAUACGUAGGGUGCAAGCGUUAAUCGGAAUUACUGGGCGUAAAGCGUGCGCAGGCGGUUAUGUAAGACAGUUGUGAAAUCCCCGGGCUCAACCUGGGAACUGCAUCUGUGACUGCAUAGCUAGAGUACGGUAGAGGGGGAUGGAAUUCCGCGUGUAGCAGUGAAAUGCGUAGAUAUGCGGAGGAACACCGAUGGCGAAGGCAAUCCCCUGGACCUGUACUGACGCUCAUGCACGAAAGCGUGGGGAGCAAACAGGAUUAGAAACCCCGGUAGUCCCA